Molecule: transfer RNA, 72 nt
Filed under: Camelus dromedarius (Arabian camel)
Lineage: Eukaryota; Metazoa; Chordata; Mammalia; Artiodactyla; Camelidae
Also listed under: 1 other name
Rfam family: tRNA
About the family: Transfer RNA (tRNA) molecules are approximately 80 nucleotides in length. Their secondary structure includes four short double-helical elements and three loops (D, anti-codon, and T loops).
Source: Rfam by way of RNAcentral
GAGGGUACAGCUCAGUGGUAGAACAUGCGCUGAGAAUGCAUGAGGUCCUGGGUUCAAAUCCCAGCACCUUUA